UUUGCACUAACACCACAAGAGUCUGGCUCAGUGAAUGGGGAUUGAUAGUAGUUU
Molecule: small nucleolar RNA, 54 nt
Organism: Pan paniscus (pygmy chimpanzee)
Lineage: Eukaryota; Metazoa; Chordata; Mammalia; Primates; Hominidae
Source: Ensembl